GAUGAAGAACGCAGCGAAAUGCGAUACGUAAUGUGAAUUGCAGAAUUCAGUGAAUCAUCGAGUCUUUGAACGCACAUUGCGCCCCCUGGUAUUCCGGGGGGCAUGCCUGUCCGAGCGUCAUUGCUGCCCUCAAGCACGGCUUGUGUGUUGGGCCUCCGUCCUCCUCCCGGGGGACGGGCCCGAAAGGCAGCGGCGGCACCGCGUCCGGUCCUCGAGCGUAUGGGGCUUCGUCACCCGCUCUUGUAGGCCCGGCCGGCGCUUGCCGACACAUCAAUCUUUUUUCCAGGUUGACCUCGGAUCAGGUAGGGAUACCCGCUGAACUUAAGCAUAUCAAUAAGCGGAGCA
Molecule: unclassified non-coding RNA, 345 nt
Filed under: soil metagenome
Description: partial contains 5.8S ribosomal RNA, internal transcribed spacer 2, and large subunit ribosomal RNA
Rfam family: 5.8S ribosomal RNA (bases 1-120)
Source: RNAcentral